RNAcentral lists this ribosomal RNA (496 nucleotides) under uncultured bacterium. RNAcentral describes it as "partial 16S ribosomal RNA". It matches the Rfam family "Bacterial small subunit ribosomal RNA", at positions 29 to 507 of the family's 1533-position model. The record is from RNAcentral.
AUGCACGCUGGCGGCGUGCCUAAUCCAUGCAAGUCGAGCGAACAGACGAGGAGCUUGCUCCUCUGACGUUAGCGGCGGACGGGUGAGUAACACGUGGAUAACCUACCUAUAAGCCUGGGAUAACUUCGGGAAACCGGAGCUAAUACCGGAUAAUAUAUUGAACCGCAUGGUUCAAUAGUGAAAGACGGUUUUGCUGUCACUUAUAGAUGGAUCCGCGCCGCAUUAGCUAGUUGGUAAGGUAACGGCUUACCAAGGCAACGAUGCGUAGCCGACCUGAGAGGGUGAUCGGCCACACUGGAACUGAGACACGGUCCAGACUCCUACGGGAGGCAGCAGUAGGGAAUCUUCCGCAAUGGGCGAAAGCCUGACGGAGCAACGCCGCGUGAGUGAUGAAGGUCUUCGGAUCGUAAAACUCUGUUAUUAGGGAAGAACAAAUGUGUAAGUAACUAUGCACGUCUUGACGGUACCUAAUCAGAAAGCCACGGCUAACUACGUG